Drosophila navojoa is the source of this 577-nucleotide long non-coding RNA. Lineage: Eukaryota; Metazoa; Arthropoda; Insecta; Diptera; Drosophilidae. The record is from RefSeq and is a predicted model, not a curated record.
GCUGGCGGAGAUGGUGGCGGCAUCGUGAACAUCAUUUCACGUUUACGAUCCAUCAACACGAGCCAUCAAAUUGUAUACAAACAAACGCAACAAAGAUCAAAAGCCAUAUUCAUUUAAAUAAAAUCUGGAACCGGGUCCCGCCAUUUGAGAGUUGCCUUUCAACAGCCACCGCUACCGUAGGAGAGACACUCUCCGCUCAGGCAAUGCAAAUGGAAAUGGGAGUGGGAAUGAAAAUGAAAAUGGAAAUGCCUCUUCAGCUUCAAUCUUAAUACGUAUUCCACUCCGCUCCCGUGCUCGGCUAAUUACUUAUGUGUCGGCGACUCCGCGGCCCAAGUGUAAUGCAUUUUUCAUGUGCCCCUCUGUGAGGAUUGUCUUAAUCCCUUACGUACGUCGAGUGCGCACAAAAUGUCUCUUAUUUGUGUGUGAAGUGGAUGUUGAUUUAGUUAAGAAGGCUGGGUGCCAAAAGGAAGCGCAGUUUGUAUAUGUAUGUGUACUUAAGAGUUGAGAAGUAUUCGUGUGGACUGAGAGGAGCGUAAGACAUUUGGAAGGAUGUGCGAAUAAAGUUGGGCAAUUAUAA